Molecule: long non-coding RNA, 608 nt
Organism: Apis cerana (Asiatic honeybee)
Lineage: Eukaryota; Metazoa; Arthropoda; Insecta; Hymenoptera; Apidae
Source: RefSeq, a predicted model, not a curated record
GUUUGAUUCAAGCAACGUCUGAACUCGAUCCCGGCCAGGUUGCCUCUGUGUCUGUGCACGGUAUCGUAAUCUCGCGGAGGUAGCAAAAUUGGACCCACGUCGUUGUCACCCGAGUUCCCUCUACCUGAAAACGAGAAAAUGUAAUUUCAAUUCCGAAUGGAUACGAUACGAUCCACGUUUGUACAACGUUUGUGCGUCGAAGAGAAAUAAAGGAAGUAACUCCGAAAGGGAAUACUCACCCAGCUUGGCACGCAACUCCGCGGCCAAGGACUCGUAUAUCGUGGUUGUCUGCACGGAAUCGUGUCUCAGUUCACCGCUGCCUUCCGACGACUCCGAUUCCCUGGUACUUCGACCGUCGCUCCCUAAAUUGCUACGAGCUCUGCCUUCCACCGAGUUCACCCUUGCCAAAUUGUCGGUGUGCGAUGCCAGCGCUUUCAACUGGCCGCCCAACAAUUCGGCCGUUUCGACCGAGUCGCAUCUAAAGUUAAAACAAUCAAAUCCGUAAGGACAGCUUUCGGAUCAUUCCCUUCAAAAUUAUUAUUAUCAUUAUGAUUACUUGUUCGAUUUGUUAGGUGGUUAAUUUGAAAUAUAAAAUUAAGAAAACUUUA